GACGAACGCUGGCGGCGUGCCUAAUACAUGCAAGUAGAACGCUGAAGGAGGAGCUUGCUUCUCUGGAUGAGUUGCGAACGGGUGAGUAACGCGUAGGUAACCUGCCUGGUAGCGGGGGAUAACUAUUGGAAACGAUAGCUAAUACCGCAUAAUAUUGACUAUUGCAUGAUAGUCAGUUGAAAGGUGCAACUGCACCACUACCAGAUGGACCUGCGUUGUAUUAGCUAGUUGGUGGGGUAACGGCUCACCAAGGCGACGAUACAUAGCCGACCUGAGAGGGUGAUCGGCCACACUGGGACUGAGACACGGCCCAGACUCCUACGGGAGGCAGCAGUAGGGAAUCUUCGGCAAUGGACGGAAGUCUGACCGAGCAACGCCGCGUGAGUGAAGAAGGUUUUCGGAUCGUAAAGCUCUGUUGUAAGAGAAGAACGAGUGUGAGAGCGGAAAGCUCACACUGUGACGGUAUCUUACCAGAAAGGGACGGCUAACUACGUG
RNAcentral lists this ribosomal RNA (495 nucleotides) under uncultured bacterium. Its description in RNAcentral is "partial 16S ribosomal RNA". It matches the Rfam family "Bacterial small subunit ribosomal RNA", at positions 28 to 507 of the family's 1533-position model. The record is from RNAcentral.